RNAcentral lists this long non-coding RNA (609 nucleotides) under Marmota monax (woodchuck). The record is from RNAcentral. Lineage: Eukaryota; Metazoa; Chordata; Mammalia; Rodentia; Sciuridae.
AUCUAUCUAUCUAUAUAUAUAUAAAAUAAAAUUUCUUUAUCCAUUCAUCUGUUGAAAAUGCUGCUAUAAACAUUGAUGUGGCUGCACCACUGAAGUAAGCUGAUUUUGAAUCUGAUGUAACAUUCCUAUGUACAUAUAUAAAUAUACCACAAUGAAUCUCACCAUUGGGUACAUCCACAAUAAUUAAUUUUAAAAAAACUAUGGGUAAAUGGCAGAAAGAUCAUUAUAGGGUAGGCAGCAGGGGUGGGCAGAGGGAAUGGGAAGGAGAGGUACUGGGGUCUGAAUUAGAACAAGAUAUAUUCCACACUUGUAUAAUAAUGUCAAAAUGGAUUGUACUGUUAUGUAUGUCUAAAAGGAACCAAUAAAAAUAAUUUUGCAAUGAAGAAGUGAUAUGUGAAAUUUUAAAAAAUGAACUGACAUAUCACAACAGAACUUGGGAAUUUAAAACCUUAAAUGCACACAUUAGAAAAGCAAGACUACAAAAAUCAAUACAAGCUCUCAUAUGAAGAAGCUAGAAAAACAACAGCAAAUCAAAUGUGAACAGAGAAUGGAGGUAUACAUAGAACACACCCAAGCAAACAUGUAUAAAAGAAAAUGGCAAAUAUUCAA